Sapajus apella (tufted capuchin) is the source of this 785-nucleotide long non-coding RNA. RefSeq lists it as uncharacterized. The record is from RefSeq and is a predicted model, not a curated record. Lineage: Eukaryota; Metazoa; Chordata; Mammalia; Primates; Cebidae. The transcript is spliced from 3 exons.
CCAGGGUUGAAAAAAAACGGUUGAAAUGAUUGUGCCGGAAACGUGGGAAGCUUUUUACGGUUCUGCCUGGCUCCCACUGAUGCGAUUUGGGGCCAGGCCAAGACAGAAUUAAAAAGAAAACCAUCCCGAAUUUGAAUUUUGAUAACCUACACUGGACUGAAUAUGGUCACAGCCCAGAAAGAAGAAAGUGCUUUAUUGGUGCCUCAUGCAAUGAUAUCAAUAGUCAUGAUAAAAUUAGGAAGCAUUAUAUAUGGUCUUUUGUUGCAAGUCUGUUCCUUGAAGGUCAGAGAAGGCAUUUGCACUAUGAAUAAUCUUUUUGUGUUGUCGUUUUUAGGGGACUGUUUAUGUUUUCGUGUGGUUUAGUCCCUUUCUGUAAAUAUAUUGAUGAAAAUACAAAGUUGAAAGGCAACCAAUAUCAGCUUUUAGUAAGUCUUUUCCAGGAUGUUUUCAGUGUUUACCUGCACGGCCAGCCUUGUGUCCUGAGCAGGCUGCUAUGCCUGUGGUGGGCUGGUGGGAUUGGACGCUUUUUGGAUAGUGGUGGGGUUCAGAUUCUCCUUAUGUGUGGGUGGAACUGGGGGCUCUGCUCGGGCCCUGGGUUCAGGGCAAUUGAGUGAAUCAGGUGACUGAUACAAAAAACCCUCACUCAGCUCACAUCAGAGCUGUGUGGGCCCUCUGCUUGUUAACUAGAGUCUGGACAGAGUUGGGAAACUUUCUUUUUUCUUUUCUCUCUCUCUUUUUUUUUUUUUUUUUUUUGAGACAGAGUCUCGCUCUGUCGCCCAGGCUAG